AACGAACGCUGGCGGCAGGCUUAACACAUGCAAGUCGAGCGCAUCCUUCGGGGUUAGCGGCGGACGGGUGAGUAACGCGUGGGAACGUGCCCUCUUCUACGGAAUAGCCUCGGGAAACUGAGAGUAAUGCCGUAUACGCCCGCAAGGGGAAAGAUUUAUCGGAGGAGGAUCGGCCCGCGUUGGAUUAGGUAGUUGGUGGGGUAACGGCCUACCAAGCCGACGAUCCAUAGCUGGUUUGAGAGGAUGAUCAGCCACACUGGGACUGAGACACGGCCCAGACUCCUACGGGAGGCAGCAGUGGGGAAUCUUGGACAAUGGGGGCAACCCUGAUCCAGCCAUGCCGCGUGAUCGAUGAAGGCCUUAGGGUUGUAAAGAUCUUUCAGCUGGGAAGAUAAUGACGGUACCAGCAGAAGAAGCCCCGGCUAACUCCGUG
RNAcentral lists this ribosomal RNA (433 nucleotides) under uncultured bacterium. RNAcentral describes it as "partial 16S ribosomal RNA". It matches the Rfam family "Bacterial small subunit ribosomal RNA", at positions 29 to 507 of the family's 1533-position model. The record is from RNAcentral.